This 1206-nucleotide ribosomal RNA is filed under the name metagenome. RNAcentral's name for it is "bacterial SSU rRNA". It matches the Rfam family "Bacterial small subunit ribosomal RNA", at positions 297 to 1498 of the family's 1533-position model. The record is from RNAcentral.
AGGACGACCAGCCGCAUUGGGACUGAGAUACGGCCCAGACUCCUACGGGAGGCAGCAGUGGGGAAUCUUGGACAAUGGACGAAAGUCUGAUCCAGCGACACCGCGUGGGGGAUGAAGGCUCUCGGGUCGUAAACCCCUUUUCUGGGGGAAGAAUAAGGUCAGGAGGAAAUGCCUGUCCGAUGACGGUACUCCAGGAAUAAGCAUCGGCAAACUCCGUGCCAGCAGCCGCGGUAAGACGGAGGAUGCGAGCGUUAUCCGGAAUUACUGGGCGUAAAGGACGUCUAGGCGGUUGGGUAAGUCACUUGUGAAAGCCCUCGGCUCAACCGAGGAAAGUCUCGUGAUACUGCCCGGCUUGGGUGUAGGAGAGGGGAGUGGAACUCACAGAGUAGCGGUGGAAUGCGUAGAUACUGUGAGGUACCCCGAUGGCGAAGGCAACUCCCUGGCCUACUACCGACGCUGAAGCGUGAAAGCGUGGGGAGCAAAGGGGAUUAGAUACCCCCGUAGUCCACGCCCCAAACGAUGUUCACUUGGUGUCGGCCGCAAAUGUAGGUCGGUGCCGGAGCUAACGCGUUAAGUGAACCGCCUGAGGAGUACGGCCGCAAGGCUAAAGCUCAAGAGAAUUGACGGGUCCCCGCACAAGCGGUGGAGCACGUGGUUUAAUUCGAUGGUAAGCGAAGAACCUCACCCAGGCUUGACAUACUAGUGGUAGGAACUGGAAACAGGGACGACCCUACCUUCGGGUAGGGAGCUAGUACAGGUGAUGCAUGGCUGUCGUCAGCUCGUGUCGUGGGAUGUAGGGUUAAGUCCCGAAACGAGCGCAACCCUUGUCGUUAGUUGCCAGCGGGUAAUGCCGGGGACUCUAGCGAGACUGCUGGUGAAUAGCCGGAGGAAGGCGGGGAUGACGUCAAGUCAUCAUGUCCCUUAUGCCUGGGGCGACACACAUGCUACAAUGGGUGGUACAGAGGGUCGCGAAGCCGUAAGGUGGAGCCAAUCUCAAAAAGCCAUCCUCAGUUCGGAUUGAGGUCUGCAACUCGACCUCAUGAAGCCGGAAUCGCUAGUAAUCGUAGGUCAGCCAUACUACGGUGAAUAUGUACUCGGGGAUUGUACACACCGCCCGUCACACCAACCGAGUGGGGGGUACCUGAAGUCGUCUCUAGGAGGCGCCGAGGGUAACCUUCGCAAGAGGGGUGAAGUCGUAACAAGGUA